Molecule: ribosomal RNA, 440 nt
Filed under: uncultured bacterium
Lineage: Bacteria
Description: partial 16S ribosomal RNA
Rfam family: Bacterial small subunit ribosomal RNA
Source: RNAcentral
CCUACGGGUGGCUGCAGUGGGGAAUAUUGCACAAUGGGGGAAACCCUGAUGCAGCGACGCCGCGUGAGUGAAGAAGUAAUUCGUUAUGUAAAGCUCUCUCAGCAGGGAAGAAAAUGACGGUACCUGAGUAAGAAGCCCCGGCUAACUACGUACCAGAAGCCGCGGUAAUACGUAGGGGGCAAGCGUUAUCCGGAUUUACUGGGUGUAAAGGGAGCGUAGACGGCAGUGCAGGUCUGGCGUGAAAGGCGGGGGCUAAACCCCCGGACUGCUCUGGAAACUGUACGGCUGGAGUGCAGGAGGGGUGAGUGGAAUUCCUGGUGUAGCGGUGAAAUGCGUAGAUAGUAGGAGGAACACCAGUGGCGAAGGCGGGUUACUGGACUGUAACUGACGUUGAGGAUCGAAAGCAUGGGGAGCAAACAGGAUUAGAUACCCUAGUAGUC